AGUUGUUUUGUUUUCUGUUUGUGUUCCAGAAACUGCCAAGCACACUAUUGUUCCAUUCCUUCUAUCAGACUGGACCUUUUCUGAACAGCUGCAUCUGUUAUAACUCUAUGCAGAGGGCAUUUCAUCACUGAUUUGAAACAGUCUAGAUAUUCUGGAAUAUAAAUAGUCUAGGUGUGCCCUUAACUAUCUGCAAGUACAUUUCAUACUAAGAAUAUAAAAUAAAAAUAUAAAUACUAAGGAAGUACAUUUAAUACUAAGAAUCAGUGCACAGCAAAGGUCUUAAGACAAACAGCACCGAUGCUGAACCACAGGCAGUUAUGGUUUUUAGCAUUAUAUCAUCAGGUUCUCUUUCUACCGUUACAAUAUAACUUCAGAAAUAACCUUAUGCUAUUGCUCCCAUGCGCCCAGUAUGUAAUCAGAAACUGCCAUCAUUUCUCACUUAUUGUCUUAUUUCAUGGAAGGAUUUCUGGGUUCUUGUUUUGUUUAGGAAACUCCUAAAGAAUGCUGAACAUGUCUUACAUGUUUUAACGUGUUAUUCGAGCACAUUUAAAAGCUAAGAGAUGUGUCUCCUUUCCCUGGACCAAAUAAUUUCCUCUGUGUAAACAUGCUUAAUGUUUUAAAACUUUUAUACAUGAAAAAAAAAAAAAAUCUGGCAAUCUUUUCCCCAGGAUUCUCUACAGAAAAUGUGAAUACUUCAUACUCCUUCACUGUAAAGGUCAGAAUUCAUUCAUCCUCAGAAAUCUCUAGCUUCCUUGCAGUUGCUGCAGAAGAUAAGAUCACAUACACUAAUCCUGCCAUGUUCAGAGGUGUUCUGAGGCAGCCAUUAAAUUCAUGCUAAGCGGGAAGCAAAACGAGACGACUCUUCUUGAAGCUGUGCUGCUGACAUGCAUCACAUGAAAAAGUUUUGUGAAGGUGGCUGACUUCAGCAUCCUGUGGAGCUUUCUAAAUCCUGUCACUAGGCUUGAAAAAAUAAAAUGAAAUUAAAAUAAAAUUAAAAUAAAAUA
RNAcentral lists this long non-coding RNA (1004 nucleotides) under Anser brachyrhynchus (Pink-footed goose). RNAcentral describes it as "lncRNA (ENSABRG00000002747.1)". The record is from RNAcentral. Lineage: Eukaryota; Metazoa; Chordata; Aves; Anseriformes; Anatidae.